GACGAACGCUGGCGGCGUGCUUAACACAUGCAAGUCGAACGGAAAGGCCCUGCUUUUGUGGGGUGCUCGAGUGGCGAACGGGUGAGUAACACGUGAGUAACCUGCCCUUGACUUUGGGAUAACUUCAGGAAACUGGGGCUAAUACCGGAUAUGAGCUCCUGCUGCAUGGUGGGGGUUGGAAAGUUUCGGCGGUUGGGGAUGGACUCGCGGCUUAUCAGCUUGUUGGUGGGGUAGUGGCUUACCAAGGCUUUGACGGGUAGCCGGCCUGGGAGGGUGACCGGCCACAUUGGGACUGAGAUACGGACCAGACGCCUACGGGAGGCAGCAGUGGGGAAUCUUGCACAAUGGGCGGAAGCCUGAUGCAGCAACGCCGCGUGCGGGAUGACGGCCUUCGGGUUGUAAACCGCUUUCGCCUGUGACGAAGCGUGAGUGACGGUAAUGGGUAAAGAAGCACCGGCUAACUACGUG
This 468-nucleotide ribosomal RNA is filed under the name uncultured bacterium. RNAcentral describes it as "partial 16S ribosomal RNA". It matches the Rfam family "Bacterial small subunit ribosomal RNA", at positions 28 to 507 of the family's 1533-position model. The record is from RNAcentral.